AUUGGGUUGAGUCCAUUGGGUUGAGUCCGCAGAGUCCAUUGGGUUGAGUCCGCAGAGUCCAUUGGGUUGAGUCCGCAGAGUCCAUUGGGUUGAGUCCGCAGAGUCCAUUGGGUUGAGUCCGCAGAGUCCAUUGGGUUGAGUCCAUUGGGUUGAGUCUGCAGAGUCCAUUGGGUUGAGUCUGUAGAGUCCAUUGGGUUGAGCCUCCUGCUGGCUACAGGUGGAAUCCAUUGGGUUGAGCUUCCUGCUGGCUACGGGUGAAGUCCAUUGGGUUGAGUCUGUAGAAUUCAUUAGAUUCAAUAUCCUACUGGUUUUAAGCAGAGUACAUUGGGUUGAGUCUGUAGAGACCGACCGUUGGGUUGAGUCUCCUGCUGGCUGCAGGUAGAGUCCAUUAGGGUGAGUCUUCAGCUGGCUACAGGUGGAGUGCAUUGGGUUGAGCCUCCUGCUGGCUACAUGUGAAAUCCAUUGGGUUGAGCCUCCUGCUGGCUACAGGUGGAAUCCAUUGGGUUGAGCUUGCUGCUGGCUACGGGUAGAGUCCAUUGGGUUGAGUCUGUAGAAUUCAUUGGGUUGAGUCUGUAGAGAUCGUUGGGUUGAGUCUCCUGCUGGCUACAGGUACAGUCCAUUGGGUUGAGUCUGUAGAAUUCAUUGGGUUGAGAAUGUAGAGACCGUUGGGUUGAGUCUCCUGCUGGCUACAGGUACAGUCCAUUGGGUUGAGUCUGUAGAGAUCAUUGGGUUGAGUCUCCUGCUGGCUAUAGGUGCAGUCCAUUGGGUUGAGUCUGUAGAGAUCGUUGGGUUGAGUCUCCUGCUGGCUACAGGUACAGUCCAUUGGGUUGAGUCUGUAGAAUUCAUUGGGUUGGGUCUCCUGUUGGUUAUAAGUAGAGUCUUUGGGUUGAGUCCAGUAGAGGUUGGUGUAAAAAACAUAUCGGAGGUGGCAAACAAUAUGAGCCCCCCUGCCCCGUCAGUAGCACUUACCCCAUCACUGGUGGCUUCCCCUGCUUGGCGGCAGCCUCCCGUUCUCCUGCUUUCCACGGGUCAUCACGACGUUGCCGGCUUCUGUUUCCUCCCUCCUCGCUGGCCAAGCGGGAGUCUUCUCUUUUCGGCCAAUUGGAAAACAGGUCUCACACCUGCUUCUGAUUGGCCGGGUUGAGGACCAGUGUUUCAACUGCGAAACUUAAUUUGCUGCUGUACCACACCUGGGUGGGACAGGAACACAUUCUCUGUGACCCGAGCCCACCCUAUAUGGAAGCCUAUUAAAGCAUGAAUAGGGGACGGCUGCGGCGGCCAUGGAUAGAUUCAUGCUAUGCAUGAAUCUUUCCAUUGCAUAUAGAAGGUGGCAGGGAGAGAGGGGUGGCGGUGCCCCUAAUGGAAGGGCCGCCACUGGUUGAGUCUCCUGCUGGCUACAAGUGGAGUCAAUGGGGUUGAGUCUCCUGCUGGCUACAGGUAGGUUGGGUUGAGUCUUCAGCUGGCUACAGAUAGAGUCCAUUGGGUGGAGUCUUCAGAUGGCUACAGGUAGAGUCCAUUUGGUUGGGUCUUCGGCUGGCUACAGUUAGAGUCCAUUGGGUUGAGUCUUCAGGUGUCUACAGGUAGAGUCCAUUGGGUUGAGUCUUCAGGUGUCUACAGGUAGAGUCCAUUGGGUUGAGUCUUCAGGUGUCUACAGGUAGAGUCCUUUGGGUUGAGUCUUCAGCUGGCUACAGGUAGAGUCCAUUGGGUUGAGUCUUCAGCUGGCUACAGGUAAAGUCCAUUGGGUUGGGUCUUCAGCUGGCUACAGGUAGAGUCCAUUGGGUUGAGUCUUCAGGUGGCUACAGGUAGAGUCCAUUGGGUUGAGUCUUCAGCUGGCUACAGGUAGAGUCCAUUGGUUUGAGUCUUCAGCUGGCUACAGGUAGAGUCCAUUGGGUUGAGUCUUCAGGUGGCUACAGGUAGAGUCCAUUGGGUUGAGUCUUCAGGUGGCUACAGGUAGAGUCCAUUAGGUUGAGUCUUCAGCUGGCUACAGGUAGAGUCCAUUGGGUUGAGCCUCCUGCUGGCUAGAGGUGGAGCCCAUUGGGUUGAGUCUUCAGCUGGCUACAGGUGGAGCCCAUUGGGUUGAGUCUUUAGGUGGCUACAGGUAGAGUCCAUUGGGUUGAGUCUUCAGCUGGCUACAGGUGGAGUCCAUUAGGGUCGAGUCGUCAGAUGGCUACAGGUAGAGUCCAUUGGGUUGAGUCUCCUGCUGGCUACAGGUGGAGUCCAUUGGGUUGAGUCUUCAGCUGGCUACAGGUAGAGUCCAUUAGGGUCGAGUCGUCAGCUGGCUACAGGUGGAGUCCAUUAGGGUCGAGUCGUCAGCUGGCUACAGGUAGAGUCCAUUGGGUUGAGUCUUCAGCUGGCUACAGGUAGAGUCCAUUGGGAUGAGUCUUCAGGUGGCUACAGGUAGAGUCCAUUGGGUUGAGUCUUCAGGUGGCUACAGGUAGAGUCCAUUGGGUUGAGUCUUCAGGUGGCUACAGGUAGAGUUCAUUGGGUUGAGUCUUCAGGUGGCUACAGGUAGAGUCCAUUGGGUUGAGUCUUCAGGUGGCUACAGGUAGAGUCCAUUGGGUUGAGUCUGUAGCUGGCUACAGGUAGAGUCCGUUGGGUUUAUUCUUCUGCUGUCUACAGGUGGAGUUCAUUGUAUCUAGUCUUCUGCUAGAGUCUUCUUUGUGGGGGUUCUUCAGGCUCUUGUGGUGAGAUCUGUCUAUUUCCGUUCUACCUUUCUUCCCGUCAGUAUUUUUUUUCUCUUUUUGUAUUUUCCACGAUAAAAAAAGUAAAUCCAGCUAAUAGAAUGGGAACCCCUCGUAUGGGUAGGUAGACCCAGGAGCUCUGGAGAUAGAGCCCACUGGCCUGAGUUUCCUGCUGGAUUCCUUUAUCUUCUUGGAGAUUCUGUUGGUGAGGUCUGUCUACUACAGUUCCUGUCUAUCUUCCUGCCAACACGUGCCCCAUGUCGACCCCGAAACUCUGGAGAUAGAAUCAUACCAGAGUUAGGCAAAAAAAAUGUGCAAUAUCCAAUCAGGAUUUGUCUUUUCCCAAUGAACUUUUGUGUAAUUUGCUAUCUACGUCUGCAUGUCAUUGCUCUUAUUUUGUUUAUUUAUAUAUAUUUUUUGUUGUAUUGAAGGAGCUGGGUUUUCAUUGGUCCAGCCAAUGUAUAAUAAAAGUGAUGUCAUGUUUGUGCUUCAGUUAUACAAGCUUUGAUUUGAUUUCAGUCUGUUAUAUUGUAUGUUAUUCAGUCCGUGUCUGUAAAAUAAACAGGAAAGCUCUACGCUUGC
Rana temporaria (common frog) is the source of this 3263-nucleotide long non-coding RNA. RefSeq lists it as uncharacterized. The record is from RefSeq and is a predicted model, not a curated record. The transcript has 2 exons. NCBI's taxonomy places the organism in Eukaryota, Metazoa, Chordata, Amphibia, Anura, Ranidae.